Molecule: ribosomal RNA, 468 nt
Filed under: uncultured bacterium
Lineage: Bacteria
Description: partial 16S ribosomal RNA
Rfam family: Bacterial small subunit ribosomal RNA
Source: RNAcentral
GACGAACGCUGGCGGCGUGCUUAACACAUGCAAGUCGAACGGAAAGGCCCUGCUUUUGUGUGGUUCUCGAGUGGCGAACGGGUGAGUAACACGUGAGUAACCUUCCUUUUACUUGGUGAUAACUUCAGGAAACUGGGGCUAAUACCGAAUAGGAGCUCCUGCUGCAUGGUGGUGGUUGGAAAUUUUAGGCGGGUGGGGAUGGACUCGCGGCUUAUCAGCUUGUUGGGGGGGUAGUGGCUUACCAAGGCUUUGACGGGUAGCCGGCCUGGGAGGGUGGCCGGGCACAUUGGGACUGAGAUACGGCCCAGACUGGUACGGGAGGCAGCGGUGGGGAAUAUUGCACAAUGGGGGGAAGCGUGAUGCAGCAGCGCGGCGUGCGGGAUGAAGGCGUUGGGGUGGUAAAGGGCUUUAGGCUGUGACGAAGCGGGAGUGACGUUAAUGGGUAAAGAAGCACCGGCUAACUACGUG